This 512-nucleotide ribosomal RNA is filed under the name uncultured bacterium. RNAcentral describes it as "partial 16S ribosomal RNA". It matches the Rfam family "Bacterial small subunit ribosomal RNA", at positions 28 to 507 of the family's 1533-position model. The record is from RNAcentral.
GAUGAACGCUGGCGGCGUGCCUAAUACAUGCAAGUCGAACGAAACUUCUUUAUCACCGAGUGCUUGCACUCACCGAUAAAGAGUUGAGUGGCGAACGGGUGAGUAACACGUGGGCAACCUGCCCAAAAGAGGGGGAUAACACUUGGAAACAGGUGCUAAUACCGCAUAACCAUAGUUACCGCAUGGUAACUAUGUAAAAGGUGGCUAUACUACCGCUUUUGGAUGGGCCCGCGGCGCAUUAGCUAGUUGGUAGGGUAAAGGCUUACCAAGGCAAUGAUGCGUAGCCGAAUUGAGAGGUUGAUCGGCCACAUUGGAACUGAGACACGGCCCAAACUCCUACGGGAGGCAGCAGUAGGGAAUCUUCCACAAAGGGCGAAAGCCUGAUGGAGCAACGCCGCGUGGGUGAAGAAGGUCUUCGGAUCGUAAAACCCUGUUGUUAGAGAAGAAAGUGCGUGAGAGUAACUGUUCACGUUUCGACGGUAUCUAACCAGAAAGCCACGGCUAACUACGUG